GUCCGCUAACGAGCGCAACCCUCACUGUGUGUUAUAUGUGUCACACGGGACUGCCGGUUUUAAGUCCGGAGGAAGGUGGGGAGUGACGUCAAGUCAGCAUGGCCUUUAUAUCCUGGGCUACACACACGCUACAAUGGUCGGUACAAUAGGUUGCCAAGCCGCGAGGCGGAGCCAAUCCAAAAAAAGCCGGCCUCAGUUCAGAUUGUAGGCUGCAACUCGCCUGCAUGAAGAUGGAGUUGCUAGUAACCGCAGGUCAGCAAUACUGCGGUGAAUACGUUCCCGGGUCUU
RNAcentral lists this ribosomal RNA (288 nucleotides) under uncultured Anaerolineaceae bacterium. Its description in RNAcentral is "partial 16S ribosomal RNA". It matches the Rfam family "Bacterial small subunit ribosomal RNA", at positions 1084 to 1382 of the family's 1533-position model. The record is from RNAcentral. Lineage: Bacteria; Bacillati; Chloroflexota; Anaerolineae; Anaerolineales; Anaerolineaceae.